GAUUAUGUUGCAUAGGCUGACCCAGACACCUCGAACGGGAAAGGGCGUAAGGGGGGCCCAGGAAACUGCUGCAUUUGAUGUUGAAUUAUUUUUUUUUUCCUGAAGUAAUCACGAUGUCAAUAUCGUUUACCGGGAGAAAAUCUAAUCUUAAAACCAAAUAUAGUUUCUCAGGGAGUCUACUAAAUUCGGCUUAUCAAGCAUAUCCAUCAAUCUUGAAAAAAAAUAUGAGUUAUGGGUGACUUCAUGGGGAUCAGACACAUUCAAGUUCAGUGAACUGAAGUUCAGUUGCGUGUCACGAUGUCAUACUUUAGAGUGUUGCAUGGCGAGCCACAAUGAUUCUCCUUCAAAAUAACGCAUUAGGGCAAGAAAUAUUCCCUCUGAAAACUUAUUUAUAAAGCUAUAUUUCUUGCCUAAAUAUUUUCUUUUCAAUUUACACGGAGGCCAAGAAAUAUCAAUGAAAGCAACUAAAAACGCACGGAAAUCCCGACAUGAUGAUCAAGACAUUUCCAAUUUUAUUGCCUUUUAACUUGCUAAGUUUGCAAAUGCAGGUUGUAAUGUCGGAACAGAGGAUAUUGAUAAUGCAGAUAUGCAAAAUAUGUGCCACAAGGAGAAAAUCAUCCCAGAUGUAAUUCAGUACGCUCCUGUUCAUUUGUUGCAGCUAGGAUGGGAGGAUAAUGUCAAAGCUAAAUUGGGGAACAACCUGUUCAAAUACGAGGUGUUCCACGAGCCAACGUUGUAUUGGCCGCAUGAAGAGAACCUAUUUUAUACUCUAAUUUUGUCGGUGAGGAUACCCAUUUGCGUCUUCAAUUAAAAUUCAAAAUCGUUUUAAGAACUCUCUUGUGAGAAAAUAUAGAUGCUCAGUAAUGUCUCUAAAUAAAUGGAUUUACUCCUUAGGUGCGUUGAGAAAAUGUCUCCGCAGAUCUAAGUGGAGACCUUUCGCUCGAUCAGUUAAACAAAUAACUUGUCUGCCAUUGGUCAAAUGAUGACGAGAUAUAUUAUCCUCUAAUUCUUAUCGGUGAGACAUUUAUUGCAGCAUUUAAAUUGUAAGAGACUAUGAACGGAAUGUCAAAUUGUAAGAGUUAAGCAUCAAAAUUGGAUAGAAAUUUAUAUAAUUUCAAAAAGUGAAAGUGAGAACUGGAGUGUUUAAAGGUCAUAAUAUUAGGUAAACAUCCUUGAUGGGUCAACAUUUACACAUCAAGAGUUUUCUUUGCAACUUUGUUGCGGCACUGAAAUAAGUUGUUGUUAUCGAGACCGAAAGAAUGUCUGAAAAUUUAAGAAAGCUCGAGCUACUCAUUUGUGAAUCUCUUUUACACAGACAAAAGCGUUAUGGGGUAUCCCCUAAAAUAGUGGUGCUAUCCCUAUUUGUGCGAUGACAUAGGGAUUUCCAAUUCAUCCAAUUGAAAUAGCACCAUUUUUUUAACCACAUUUAAUUGAAGUAGUACCCCAAUAAUGUAUGCCUAAUAAAAAUGUCAAAAUCAUCCAACAACCCCUACCUAUUUUUUCCAAAUAGAACAUUUUUUUUUCGGUACACGAGAGAUGUGAGCAAGUAAAACUUAUACGUUUCUUACAUUAAACGAACAAAUAUUUUGUUGCAUAAGCUCAUGCUUAAAAAUAAACCCCCGUUCGGAACAUUAUUUUCAAAAAUUCCAAAUACACUUACCUGAGAUUGUGCGAUUUGGAAUUAUUGAAAAUAAUGUUCCGAAUGGGGUUUUAUUUUUUGGACUAAUACAUAGUACACAGAUUGCAACUCCUACCAUGAAGAUCAAUUUAAAAAUAAUUUAAUUUAAGUUUGUUUUGUCAACUUUGAAUUAAACAUUUGACUGUUUA
RNAcentral lists this long non-coding RNA (1827 nucleotides) under Bemisia tabaci. Its description in RNAcentral is "lncRNA ENSSSA3NGG014647". The record is from RNAcentral. Lineage: Eukaryota; Metazoa; Arthropoda; Insecta; Hemiptera; Aleyrodidae.